This 1704-nucleotide long non-coding RNA is filed under the name Populus trichocarpa (black cottonwood). RNAcentral's name for it is "long non-coding RNA (PTRI_LNC001986)". Lineage: Eukaryota; Viridiplantae; Streptophyta; Magnoliopsida; Malpighiales; Salicaceae. The record is from RNAcentral.
GAGAUCGAAACCACCACCACCGUUCCAGCCAAGGAACCAGCCCCUCCACCAUUGUUGCAACAACUCCUCACAUGGAUAGAGAUCCUAUCUUAUAUCCAUGGAUCCACGGAGCUUCUUGGCUUUUAGGUAACAUUGUUGAAACUCUUGCAUUUUGUUAUUUGUAAUUAUUGAACUACUGCUCGAACACACCUUUCUAAUGGUUUCAUUUGUAGAUAGAUGCUGCUAUAAACCCAGGAAGGUGAAUGUGUGGGCAUGGCGUUUUAGCCCCUUAAGCAGAAGUAAGAAAAUGCAAGUCCAAGUGAAGUGUAGCUCUGGAGCAGAGAAUUGUCAAGAACAGGUAGCAGUUGAAUUACAAGGCACAACUAAACUUCACCCUUCAUUUUUUCAAACCCACCUCUAAAACCUCCAAAUUGGCCAACUUUGCCUCUUCUUCCUUGGUUCACAUUCAAAAAGAAAAUUCAGCAAAGUUUGUGUCUUUUCAUUUUCUCUUGAUUUUGCAAGUAAUUUUUCUUUUUUUUUUAAUCACUUGGGAGGCUUGGGACAAACAACAAAACCCUUGGAAUCAGAAAUCAAAACCAAAACUUCUCUCAUCUCAAGCUGAAGAUUGACUUGAUUCAUCAUCAUCUUUAAAAAGAGAGGGUGAGAGAAAUUGUACAUGAAGAUUUGGGUAUGAAAAUAUGAGAUUUUUAUUCAAUUUAGCAAGCAAGAAGAUAAAGGGUGUUUGUAUUAUAUUAUAUUUAAGGGUAGAUUUAUCUUUUCAUUCAAAUUUUAAAAUUGAAUUGACUAUAAAUUAUAUUUUUUUUUUAAAUAAAAACAAAGUAAAAAAUAGCUAAACUAUCAAAGGAUAAGAGUAAUUUUCCAGAAGCUUUGAACUUCUAGUUGGGUUUAUAAUAACAAUGAAAUUUUGCAUGCGAUGAUAUGUAUGAUAUAGUUGAAAAAAUAUAGUUCAAGGGCACGAUUGAUUAGAUUAAUAGUACAGAUUUUAAAGUGUCACAACGCAAAAAGGUCAAGGAAAAAACUUGAUUAAAUUGAUGGUAUAGACUUAUCAUAAUACUAGAAAAAUGCCAUUAAACCCAUAAAAAAAAAAUAGUGGCACUAUAAUUGGCUUUGUUAUACAAGGUUUUUUUUUUUUUUGUGCAUUUUCUAAUCAUAUGUUUUUAGGCAUGCAAUAAAUCAAUUCAAUUGCAGGAGAUCUUCUGCAUCACAAGAAGAGCCAGGAUUCAACAUUCAUGCAAAAUUAAAUCACUAAAUAUUUGAGGUCUUCUGAACACUUACAAAAUGGAAGGCCUGGUUUGAUUUGAGCUGGGUCUAGGUUCAAAACCAGUCCUCGUUGAAUGCCAUUGAAAUUUGAAUGAAAGAAGAAAGUGCCUCAGCUGGCGGAACAAAAAAGCGCCGCCAUGAGCCCUUUUGCUCCACCUCACAUUUAUAUACAAAAGUCAAAACUUUCGGUGAAUGUUUUGAUUUGCAGCUAGAGCAUUGAAUUCAAUCUUUCAACAAUGGAGAAUAUCAGCAGAGCAGACUCAUGAAUGGAAAGGAGCAGCCAUGGGGUAGUUUCCCACGUUCGCUGACACCACACCAAUAUUUAUCAAAUUUGACUGCUCUUACCUCAAUGGCACCAUUACUGCCCUGUACGUUUCUUUACCGACUCUAAAGUUUCUAUUUGUAUGCUUGGAAAUUAAAUCUUUCCUUAUGCUUGCUUAUUAU